Molecule: long non-coding RNA, 1209 nt
Organism: Eurytemora carolleeae
Lineage: Eukaryota; Metazoa; Arthropoda; Copepoda; Calanoida; Temoridae
Exons: 4
Source: RefSeq, a predicted model, not a curated record
GAAUUUGAAGAAUUCUAAUAAACUUUCAAUGUUCAAGAUUUCUGAAAAUCUGACGAAGAAUGAUGAAUCCUUGUGAUGAAUGUGAAGAAGUUGGAACAGAGAAGGUUGAAUCUGAACCUACACAUGAAAACUCGAACUUUCUUCUAUAUUUCUAAAACUUUUGAUUCUUUAUCUUUCUAUUAAGAAGUCAAUGUUUUUAAGUUAUAUAAUCCUAAAAAUAUGAUUUUAAUCUUAUCAAGCCAUGAGAAAUGUUAAUCAUGAGCUUUUUUAUAUAAAAUUCUUUAUCUAAUUGAGAUUUCGAAAGAAAGAAAGCUUUUAAUUUGAGAGUAAAGAUUUUAGUUUGUAUAACGAAGAUUUUAAUUUGGAAAAAAGGAAAUAAAACUAUAUAUCGUCUUUUUCAGACGAAGAAUGGGUUGAUUAUACUGUAACCCUAUUAAGUCUCCAGGUCUCAGCUUUUACGAGAUCUUAGAUUAAACGUGUUCUCCCAAAACUUCAAUCAUCCUGCAAAUCUACCACCUACAACAUCGUCCACAAAUCUUCAUUCGUCGAGUACAUGAACCAUGCGAAAUCAUAAAUAGACUAUGAACCUUGAGCCUUGCAAUAUUCAUCGGUAAUGUUAUGCACAUGCAGAUACCUUAAAUAUAUGUAUUCAGGACCGUCUCUACCCUGAUGUUCAUAUACUUCUCUGUCUGAUAGAUGUAAUGGAAUAGAUACUCUCCACCUGGUGAGAUCUUCUGAUGUCGUCUUCUUUCUUAAGAACUGUUCUAGAUUACUUUGGCCGUCUUCCACCAUCGUGACUCUACCUGAUCAUCAUCCUGAGCAUGUGAAUGUGACUCCACCUCCUCUGUUCUACAACUCGGAGUGCUGAUUGCUCCGAACGAGCUGCCUCCGACUGGAUACGCUGAUUUACGAGGACUUAUGUUGGAACGUCAUAUGCUUUAGACGUGUCCUGUUAAGAUUCCUCAAGAUCAGAGAACAAUAUCAAGGAUGUCGUCUUCCCCUUGUUUCUCUGAUACUCUCCUUCACUGCUUUAAGGAUCGCACCUAAAGACUAGAAAGGACUCUGAAUGAAGUAUAAGAUAUUCUCUCUCUAAACUGUAGCUCAUAUCAAGACCCCAGCCAGAGCAACUUUGUAAGUGUGUUUUAAAUAUUGAACAUUUUACUAAUAUGAUUUCUUUGUGAUUCAAAAACUAAAUUUCUUUAUUGAGAC